GCGCAGCAGUCGAGAAACUUUACAAUGUGCGAAAGCACGAUAAGGGAACUCUGAGUGCCUCCUAAGGAGGCUGUUCAGGUGUCUAAAAGCACCUGAAGGAAGGGCUGGGUAAGACCGGUGCCAGCCGCCGCGGUAACACCGGCAGCCCAAGUGGUAGCCACGUUUAUUGGGUCUAAAGCGUCCGUAGCCGGCUGGGUAAGUUCCUUGGGAAAUUUGGCUGCUUAACAGUCAAGCUUUCAGGGAAUACUGCCCGGCUUGGGGACCGGGAGAGGUCAGAGGUACUCCAGGGGUAGGGUGAAAUCCAUUAAUCCUUGGGGGACCACCGGUAGCGAAGGCGUCUGACCAGACCGGGUCCGACGGUGAGGGACGAAGGCUA
This 376-nucleotide ribosomal RNA is filed under the name uncultured microorganism. Its description in RNAcentral is "bacterial SSU rRNA". It matches the Rfam family "Archaeal small subunit ribosomal RNA", at positions 330 to 713 of the family's 1478-position model. The record is from RNAcentral.